Acanthosepion pharaonis is the source of this 113-nucleotide non-coding RNA. Lineage: Eukaryota; Metazoa; Mollusca; Cephalopoda; Sepiida; Sepiidae. The record is from the annotation of a GenBank genome assembly.
UAUGGUCACAUCAUUUUGAAACACCAGUUCCCAUAUGACCACCAAAGUUAAGCAAUGUUGAGCCUGGUCAGUACCUAGAUAAGUGACCGCUAGGAAAUACCAAGUGCUGUAAG